CCUACGGGAGGCAGCAGUAGGGAAUAUUGCUCAAUGGGGGAAACCCUGAAGCAGCAACGCCGCGUGGAGGAUGAAGGUUUUCGGAUUGUAAACUCCUUUUGUUAGAGAAGAUAAUGACGGUAUCUAACGAAUAAGCACCGGCAAACUCCGUGACAGCAGCCGCGGGAAUACGGAGGGUGAAAGCGUUACUAGGAAUCACUGGGGGAAAGGAGCGCGGAGGCGGGAUAGCAAGCCAGAUGUGAAAUCCUACGGUUUAACCAUCGAACUGCAUUUGAAACUGGUAUUCUAGAGUGUUGGAGAGGUAGGUGGAAUUCUUGGUGUAGCGGUAAACUCCGUAGAGAUCAAGAGGAAUACUCAUUGCGAAGGCGACCUGCUAGAACAUAACUGACGCUGAUGCGCGAAAGCGUGGGGAGCAAACAGGAUUAGAUACCCGGGUAGUC
RNAcentral lists this ribosomal RNA (440 nucleotides) under uncultured bacterium. Its description in RNAcentral is "partial 16S ribosomal RNA". It matches the Rfam family "Bacterial small subunit ribosomal RNA", at positions 338 to 795 of the family's 1533-position model. The record is from RNAcentral.